Long non-coding RNA from Lotus japonicus, 408 nucleotides. RefSeq lists it as uncharacterized. Lineage: Eukaryota; Viridiplantae; Streptophyta; Magnoliopsida; Fabales; Fabaceae. The record is from RefSeq and is a predicted model, not a curated record. The transcript has 2 exons.
AUUAGCUCAGGAGAUCAUCUAAUAUUACAGUUUCAGUUUUGGUCAUUGAAUUGAUAGCCAUGCCUAGUUUAUCUGACCACCAAAGACUACAUAUGGCAUGUUUGGCGGUGGAAAUAUUAAGAUUUUCCAGGUUUCUUUGGAGGCAUCCACCUUUGCCAGAUCGUCGAUCCUUGAAGCCAUAAAAAAGGAGGUUAAGUUGAAAUAUGCAAGGAAUGAUGGAAAAUGCUGGGAAUGAUGGAGGAAAAAUGUCACAUGAGGGGUGUAUAUAUAGUCUGAAUGAAGGGUUUGUGAAAUUGAAUUAUUUCCCUAUGAUUGAUCAGUAUUAAACGCACGGGUCAACAAAUUUCCUAUUAUGACAUGGUAUGUGUUUGUAAUGCGUACAUAAAAUCAACGUUUUUUUUUCUCCUA